This 484-nucleotide ribosomal RNA is filed under the name uncultured bacterium. Its description in RNAcentral is "partial 16S ribosomal RNA". It matches the Rfam family "Bacterial small subunit ribosomal RNA", at positions 30 to 507 of the family's 1533-position model. The record is from RNAcentral.
AUUGAACGCUGGCGGCAUGCCUUACACAUGCAAGUCGAACGGCAGCACGGGUGCUUGCACCUGGUGGCGAGUGGCGAACGGGUGAGUAAUACAUCGGAACAUGUCCUGUAGUGGGGAUAGCCCGGCGAAAGCCGGAUUAAUACCGCAAACGAACCACGGAUGAAAGCGGGGGACCUUCGGGCCUCGCGCCAUAGGGUUGGCCGGUGGCUGAUUAGCUAGUUGGUGGGGUAAAGGCCUACCAAGGCGACGAUCAGUAGCUGGUCUGAGAGGACGACCGGCCACCCUGGAACUGAGACACGGCCCAGACUCCUACGGGAGGCAGCGUUGGGGAAUUUUGGACAAUGGGCGAAAGCCUGAUCCAGCAAUGCCGCGUGUGUGAAGAAGGCCUUCGGGUUGUAAGCACUUUUGUCCGGAAAGAAAUCCUUGGCCCUAAUACGGUCGGGGGAUGACGGUACCGGAAGAAUAAGCACCGGCUAACUACGUG